GUGAGUCAUCGAAUCUUUGAACGCACAUUGCGCCCCCUGGCAUUCCGGGGGGCACACCUGUCCGAGCGCCGUUUUGUAGACUGAGGCUAAGCCUUGCGAUGGCCGGCUCCGUGAGGGGAGCGGCCGAAACGGAUGGGCGCCGGGGCGCGGCGAGCAGCGUGACACGAGAGCGCGGCUGGCGGCGGGACCGGUGGCCGGUUGCGAAGAAAGCGCAGCUUUGGCCUCGGAUCAGGUGGGGAUACCCGCUGAACUUAAGCAUAUCAAUAAGCGGAGGA
This 275-nucleotide unclassified non-coding RNA is filed under the name Heliocephala sp. RNAcentral's name for it is "partial contains 5.8S ribosomal RNA, internal transcribed spacer 2, and large subunit ribosomal RNA". The stretch from base 1 to 71 matches the Rfam family "5.8S ribosomal RNA", at positions 84 to 154 of the family's 154-position model. Lineage: Eukaryota; Fungi; Ascomycota; Dothideomycetes; Myriangiales. The record is from RNAcentral.